AAAAGCUUCUUUUUGAUGUUUGCUGUGUGGUUUGACCAUCUUAGAACAUAGCACUUUGGAGUGGCUUUCUUGUAAGGUGCACCAUUUUUUUCCCUUCACCAAUUGUGACUUGCAGUGAACUGUUUGAGAAAUGUUUGAGUGAAUUUGGGCCUAGCCUAAUAGCAUUGCCUUUACCCAAUUGCUGAGUUUCAAGAUCUCAACUAACAUCAUUGAGCUUUCCAACAAUCCAAGGAUGCCCUUUAGGGAUUUUUAAGACUCUUUUUUUGAACCUUUUGAUUGAAUUCCUGAGGAAUUUUUGGACACUCACUCCCUCCUUAAGAUUUUUUUAUAGAAUUUUUAAUGGAGGUGGACUCAACCCAAAGCACUUAUUCCUAGUCUCUUCUUUCACUUUGUCCCUGUACCCUUUGCAAUUCUCCUUCUCUCCUGCCCUCUUUUAAACUAUUUUUCUGACUUUGGAGUGGCGUUAACAUGAGUGUACCACUCCAUAAUCGC
Long non-coding RNA from Alosa sapidissima (American shad), 492 nucleotides. RefSeq lists it as uncharacterized. The record is from RefSeq and is a predicted model, not a curated record. The transcript is spliced from 2 exons. NCBI's taxonomy places the organism in Eukaryota, Metazoa, Chordata, Actinopteri, Clupeiformes, Clupeidae.